CCUACGGAGGCAGCAGUAGGGAAUAUUGCGCAAUGGGGGAAACCCCGAAGCAGCAACGCCGCGUGGAGGAUGAAGGUUUUCGGAUUGUAAACUCCUUUUGUUAGAGAAGACAAUGACGGUAUCUAACGAAUAAGCACCGGCUAACUCCGUGCCAGCAGCCGCGGUAACACGGAGGGUGCAAGGGUUAUUCGGAAUCACUGGGCGUAAAGGGGGCGUAGGCGGGAUAGCAAGUCAGAUGUGAAAUCCUAUGGCUUAACCAUAGAACUGCAUUUGAAACUGUUAUUCUAGAGUAUGGGAGAGGUAGGUGGAAUUCUUGGUGUAGGGGUAAAAUCCGUAGAGAUCGAGAGGAAUACUCAUUGCGAAGGCGACCUGCUAGAACAUAACUGACGCUGAUGCGCGAAAGCGUGGGGAGCAAACAGGAUUAGAUACCCGUGUAGUC
RNAcentral lists this ribosomal RNA (439 nucleotides) under uncultured bacterium. RNAcentral's name for it is "partial 16S ribosomal RNA". It matches the Rfam family "Bacterial small subunit ribosomal RNA", at positions 338 to 795 of the family's 1533-position model. The record is from RNAcentral.